This 31-nucleotide non-coding RNA is filed under the name Mus musculus (house mouse). Lineage: Eukaryota; Metazoa; Chordata; Mammalia; Rodentia; Muridae. The record is from RNAcentral.
UGAAGCCUCUCCAAGGACAUUGUCUACUUAA